GAUGAACGCUGGCGGUAUGCUUAACACAUGCAAGUCGAACGGAAUCCUUAGGGAUUUAGUGGCGGACGGGUGAGUAACGCGUGAGAAUCUGGCUUCAGGUCGGGGACAACAGUUGGAAACGACUGCUAAUACCGGAUAUGCCGAGAGGUGAAAGAUUAAUUGCCUGGAGAUGAGCUCGCGUCUGAUUAGCUAGUUGGUGGGGUAAGAGCCUACCAAGGCGACGAUCAGUAGCUGGUCUGAGAGGAUGAUCAGCCACACUGGGACUGAGACACGGCCCAGACUCCUACGGGAGGCAGCAGUGGGGAAUUUUCCGCAAUGGGCGAAAGCCUGACGGAGCAAUACCGCGUGAGGGAGGAAGGCUCUUGGGUCGUAAACCUCUUUUCUCAGGGAAGAAAAAAAUGACGGUACCUGAGGAAUAAGCAUCGGCUAACUCCGUGCCAGCAGCCGCCGUAACAC
RNAcentral lists this ribosomal RNA (456 nucleotides) under uncultured bacterium. RNAcentral's name for it is "bacterial SSU rRNA". It matches the Rfam family "Bacterial small subunit ribosomal RNA", at positions 28 to 526 of the family's 1533-position model. The record is from RNAcentral.